This 495-nucleotide ribosomal RNA is filed under the name uncultured bacterium. Its description in RNAcentral is "partial 16S ribosomal RNA". It matches the Rfam family "Bacterial small subunit ribosomal RNA", at positions 28 to 507 of the family's 1533-position model. The record is from RNAcentral.
GACGAACGCUGGCGGCGUGCCUAAUACAUGCAAGUAGAACGCCGAAAGAGGAGCUUGCUUCUCCGGAUGAGUUGCGAACGGGUGAGUAACGCGUAGGUAACCUGCCUGGUAGCGGGGGAUAACUAUUGGAAACGAUAGCUAAUACCGCAUAAGAGUAGAUGUCGCAUGACAUUUGCUUAAAAGGUGCAACUGCACCCCUACCAGAUGGACCUGCGUUGUAUUAGCUAGUUGGUGAGGUAACGGCUCACCAAGGCAACGAUACAUAGCCGACCUGAGAGGGUGAUCGGCCACACUGGGACUGAGACACGGCCCAGACUCCUACGGGAGGCAGCAGUAGGGAAUCUUCGGCAAUGGACGGAGGUCUGACCGAGCAACGCCGCGUGAGUGAAGAAGGUUUUCGGAUCGUAAAGCUCUGUUGUAAGAGAAGAACGAGUGUGAGAGUGGAAAGUUCACACUGUGACGGUAUCUUACCAGAAAGGGACGGCUAACUACGUG